This 835-nucleotide ribosomal RNA is filed under the name Staphylococcus pseudintermedius. Its description in RNAcentral is "bacterial SSU rRNA". It matches the Rfam family "Bacterial small subunit ribosomal RNA", at positions 1 to 818 of the family's 1533-position model. Lineage: Bacteria; Bacillati; Bacillota; Bacilli; Caryophanales; Staphylococcaceae. The record is from RNAcentral.
UUUAUGGAGAGUUUGAUCCUGGCUCAGGAUGAACGCUGGCGGCGUGCCUAAUACAUGCAAGUCGAGCGAACAGAUAAGGAGCUUGCUCCUUUGACGUUAGCGGCGGACGGGUGAGUAACACGUGGGUAACCUACCUAUAAGACUGGAAUAACUCCGGGAAACCGGGGCUAAUGCCGGAUAACAUGUUGAACCGCAUGGUUCUACAGUGAAAGACGGUCUUGCUGUCACUUAUAGAUGGACCCGCGCCGUAUUAGCUAGUUGGUGGGGUAACGGCCUACCAAGGCGACGAUACGUAGCCGACCUGAGAGGGUGAUCGGCCACACUGGAACUGAGACACGGUCCAGACUCCUACGGGAGGCAGCAGUAGGGAAUCUUCCGCAAUGGGCGAAAGCCUGACGGAGCAACGCCGCGUGAGUGAUGAAGGUCUUCGGAUCGUAAAGCUCUGUUGUUAGGGAAGAACAAAUGUGUAAGUAACUGUGCACAUCUUGACGGUACCUAACCAGAAAGCCACGGCUAACUACGUGCCAGCAGCCGCGGUAAUACGUAGGUGGCAAGCGUUAUCCGGAAUUAUUGGGCGUAAAGCGCGCGUAGGCGGUUUUUUAAGUCUGAUGUGAAAGCCCACGGCUCAACCGUGGAGGGUCAUUGGAAACUGGAAAACUUGAGUGCAGAAGAGGAAAGUGGAAUUCCAUGUGUAGCGGUGAAAUGCGCAGAGAUAUGGAGGAACACCAGUGGCGAAGGCGGCUUUCUGGUCUGCAACUGACGCUGAUGUGCGAAAGCGUGGGGAUCAAACAGGAUUAGAUACCCUGGUAGUCCACGCCGUAAACGAUGAGUGCUA